UGGAGCUCACUGUAUGACAGGUGCUCGUGGCCUGGAGGGAGCAGGGAGGCUGGGAGCUCCUCUCAGAUUUUCUAUGAAAGCUAUUGCACAGCAUGGACUUUGUCUGCAAAGACCGUGGAGAAGGCACCAUUGAAGGCUUCUGACAUUUGAACUCUGACUUUUCAGAUCUCCUCAGGCCCAGAGCAGCCACCUCUGAGCCCCUACCACUUUUCUAAAUGCAGUCAGGAAGCACGAGACUGAUGUCUCCCAAGGAGCUCUGUACAGUGUUCCAGAUCUUCGCUAACAUAUUGUGACAGAACUGGGUUCCUCAAGAAGCUGUUGCUGGUUGCUGGGGAUUACACUUUUAUACCCAUGGAAGGAGGACCAUUAAAAGAUUAUUGUAGUACAAAAUUGCUGACCAUGCAAAGAGAGGGCAGUGAAUAUGGCUUUAAAAGAGAGGGCUAGCCAAAUGUGGAAGAUGGUCAUUGUUUCCUUGUAUGACUCUGCACCAGCUGAACUCGACGAGGCUGGCUGGAUUCAAGAUAGAUAGAGCUUGAUACAGUUGCUUAUGAACAGGCUUCUAGCGCCACCUGAGAUGGCUUCAGGUGUCUGAAGGACAUCUGAAAUGAGACAGUACUUUCAUGGGCUGACAGCCUUCAAGACCAUCUGCAAAAAGACAGAGGGGGUAUCCAGGAUAUCUCAAAUGGCACUGUCAUGAUCAGACAUAGCAGAUAUCUAUAGUACAGAUUGCUCAAGGCCAGGAUCUUCCCUUUUGCCUCUGUAAGUAGAACAGUGAAACUUGGUGAACAAGAUCGGAUGCAAAGUCAGCCACAAAUGUGAUCCAAGGACUCGGCAGGUGUGUGAGGAAGGUCUGAGAGGGCUGGGUUUGUUCAACAUUGAAAAAAGAAGGCUCAGAAGAGACCUUAUCCCCAUGUUCCACUAUCUAAAUGGUGGCUACAAAGAUGAAGACUCCCUUUUACAAGGAGUCACAUGGAAAAGAUGAGAGGUAAUGGGCCCAAGUUACUCCUGGUGAGAUGCUGAUUGGAAAUGCGGGAAAUU
This is a long non-coding RNA of Neopsephotus bourkii (Bourke's parrot), 1038 nucleotides long. RefSeq lists it as uncharacterized. NCBI's taxonomy places the organism in Eukaryota, Metazoa, Chordata, Aves, Psittaciformes, Psittacidae. The record is from RefSeq and is a predicted model, not a curated record. The transcript has 4 exons.